Molecule: ribosomal RNA, 453 nt
Filed under: Cylindera biprolongata
Lineage: Eukaryota; Metazoa; Arthropoda; Insecta; Coleoptera; Carabidae
Description: partial 16S ribosomal RNA
Rfam family: Bacterial large subunit ribosomal RNA
Source: RNAcentral
CGCCUGUUAACAAAAACAUGUCCUUUUGAAUAUAUUUAAGGUCUAACCUGCCCAAUGAGGAUUUAAAUGGCCGCAGUAUUUUGACUGUGCAAAGGUAGCAUAAUUAUUAGUUUUUUAAUUGAAAGCUUGUAUGAAGGGUUGGACGAGAUAAAAUCUGUCUUUAUUUAAAUUAUAAUAGAAUUUAACUUUUAAGUCAAAAGGCUUAAAUUUUUAUAAAAGACGAGAAGACCCUAUAGAUCUUUAUUUAGUUAAUAUUUUGAUAAUUUAGGAUUAUUUUAGUUUAAAGUUUUAACUAAAUUUUAUUGGGGUAAUAUAAAGAUUAAAAAAAUUCUUUUUAUUUAUUACAUUGAUUUAUGAAUAUAUGAUCCAGUAUUAUUGAUUAUAAGAUUAAGUUACCUUAGGGAUAACAGCGUAAUUUUUUUGGAGAGCUCAUAUCGAUAAAAAAGUUUGCGA